RNAcentral lists this microRNA precursor (203 nucleotides) under Oryza meridionalis. RNAcentral describes it as "MIR812 microRNA precursor family". It matches the Rfam family "MIR812 microRNA precursor family". Lineage: Eukaryota; Viridiplantae; Streptophyta; Magnoliopsida; Poales; Poaceae. The record is from Rfam by way of RNAcentral.
AAUAAGCGCAGUUGUGGGUUUCAGUACCCAACUUUGACCAUCCGUCUUAUUUAAAAUAUUUUUAUUAGUAUUUUUAUUAUUAUUAGAUGAUAAAAUAUGAAUAGUACUUUAUGCAUGACUUAACUUUUUAAAUUUUUUCAUAAUUUUUUUAAAUAAGACGGACGGUCAAACGUUGGGCACGGAAACUUAUAGCUGCACUUAUA